GCUCAGAGUCAGCAAAGCAGCCUCGUCCUGAACCCUAGUUUACACCUAGAAUAUGAGGCAGGUGAUAAGAGUGACACUGUUCCUGAUCCUGGGCACUUUAAGCCUUGUGAAGACCACCCAGCGAAUCUCCAUGGACGCCUAUGAAGGACAGGAAGUGAACAUAUCCUGUAACCACACCAACAUUGCCACAAAUGAGUACAUCUUCUGGUACCGACAGGUCCCCCACCAGGGACCACACUUUGUCAUUCAAGGAUAUAAGACGAAUGUGGCAAAUGAAGUGGCAUCUCUGUUUAUCCCGGUUGACAGAAAGUCCAGCACCCUGAGCCUGCACCGCGUUACCCUGAAAGACAGUGCUGUGUACUACUGCACUGUGGGUGGCACAGUGAGACAGCUGGGUUUGGUAUUGCAGCUGGACUUUGAAUAG
Non-coding RNA from Marmota monax (woodchuck), 424 nucleotides. NCBI's taxonomy places the organism in Eukaryota, Metazoa, Chordata, Mammalia, Rodentia, Sciuridae. The record is from the annotation of a RefSeq genome assembly.